GCGACCUACCCAUGAGCAGGAUGAAGCGAAAGUAAAAUUUCGUGGAGGUCCGAACCCACGAGCGUUGAAAAGCUCGGGGAUGACUUGUGGGUAGCGGUGAAAUUCCAAUCGAGCCCGGAGAUAGCUGGUUCUCCCCGAAAUAGCUUUAGGGCUAGCCUCAAGGUGAGAGAUACGGAGGUAGAGCACUGAAUGUCCUAGGGGGUAUUGCACCUACCGAAGACUAUCAAACUCCGAAUGCCGUCAUCUUAUACUUGGGAGUCAGACUGUGGGUGAUAAGAUUCAUAGUCGAAAGGGCAACAGCCCAGAUCGUCAGCUAAGGUCCCUAAAUGUAAGUUAAGUGGUAAAGGAUGUGGGAUUGCACAGACAACCAGGAUGUUGGCUUAGAAGCAGCCACUCAUUCAAAGAGUGCGUAAUAGCUCACUGGUCGAGUGAUCCUGCGCCGAAGAUUUCCGGGGCUAAAACUUACUACCGAAGCUACGGCAUCAGUAAUGAUGGGUAGGGGAGCUUCCCAUACGGGUUGAAGCAUGACCGUAAGGACAUGUGGACAGUAUGGGAGUGAGAAUGUUGGCAUGAGUAGCGAGAUGUGGGUGAGAAUCCCACAGGCCGUAAACCCAAGGUUUCCAGGGGAAGGUUCGUCCGCCCUGGGUUAGUCGGGACCUAAGCUGAGGCCGAAAGGCGUAGGUGAUGGACAACAGGUUGAUAUUCCUGUACUACCGAUAACCGUUUGAGAGAAGGGAUGACACAGUAGGAUAAGCUAAGCACACUGUUGGUUAUGUGUGCCCAAGCAUUGAGGCAGUCAAAGUAGGCAAAUCCGCUUUGAUAAUGCUGGGAUGUGAUGGGGAGCGAAAUUUAGUAGCGAAGUAGCUGAUUUCACACUGUCAAGAAAAGUCUCUAUCGAGGUUAAAGGUACCCGUACCGCAAACCGACACAGGUGGGUGAGGAGAGUAUCCUAAGGCCAGCGAGAGAACUGUUGUUAAGGAACUCGGCAAAAUGACCCCGUAACUUAGGGAUAAGGGGUGCCACCAUCAGGUGGCCGCAGAGAAUAGGCCCAAGCGACUGUUUACCAAAAACAUAGGUUUCUGCUAAGUCGCAAGACGAUGUAUAGGAGCUGACGCCUGCCCGGUGCUGGAAGGUUAAGGGGAUCUGUUAGAGCAAUCGAAGCAGUGAACUUAAGCCCCAGUAAACGGCGGCCGUAACUAUAACGGUCCUAAGGUAGCGAAAUUCCUUGUCGGGUAAGUUCCGACCCGCACGAAAGGCGUAACGAUUUGGGCACUGUCUCAACAACAGACUCGGUGAAAUUGUAAUUCCGGUGAAGAUGCCGGAUACCUGCGACAGGACGGAAAGACCCCAUGGAGCUU
Molecule: ribosomal RNA, 1358 nt
Filed under: Clostridioides difficile
Lineage: Bacteria; Bacillati; Bacillota; Clostridia; Peptostreptococcales; Peptostreptococcaceae
Description: partial 23S ribosomal RNA
Rfam family: Bacterial large subunit ribosomal RNA
Source: RNAcentral